Daphnia magna is the source of this 1413-nucleotide RNA transcript. RefSeq lists it as uncharacterized. Lineage: Eukaryota; Metazoa; Arthropoda; Branchiopoda; Diplostraca; Daphniidae. The transcript has 5 exons. The record is from RefSeq and is a predicted model, not a curated record.
GCCAGCUCCGGAAGCAUUUGACGGCUGAGGACCACUGGAGGACUGGUUUUACGUUUUGAAACGCAAAGAUAUUCGUAUUUCUUAUUUAUUUAGUUCCGUUCAGUGCACUUUAGUGAUUGAAUUGAUGAAUUGAAAAGAAACAAAGAUGAAAAUUAUGUUUCUACUGAUUCAUAAACAAGUAAAAGAAAGGAAUCUGAAUUUAAGAUAUCUGAGUACAAUUAGUUUGAUUAAUUCAUGAACACUUUCAACAGAAAACUUGUUAACAAUGGUAGGAAACACUUCAGAGUAGUUAACAACUUUGAGGAUCUUGUGCGCUAAUGUUUCUAACACAUUAUGUUGAUUGGAGAGUGCAGAUAACUUUUCUACAACAACGGAAUGAAAAAAUGUUUCAGCUGUGUGAAUCAAGGUCUGGACUUAGAGGAUCAUCACACGAGUUAAACAAGGAAUUUCUUCUGGUUGGACAUUUAACAAGUUUCUCAGUUUUCAGUACAAUGUAGCCAGCAAUGUAUGCUAGGCAUUGGUUGGUGAAGUGGUCUUUCAACUGACUAGCAUGGAAUUCCUCAUCAGAACAUAUUACUUCAAUAUCCAUCAUGAUAUCCUGAUCAACUGUGAGUUCGUUAACAUCAGAUACAUUAUCUACUGGCAUAAGGGAACAGUUGGAUGACAGUGAAGGGAGCAUUUGGAUUAUUAUUCAAUCCACAACGAAGUCGAAUGAUCCCAAAAAAGUGUUCCAAUGGGUCCUGCUGCAUGUGCCUAGUGGCUACAUAACUCAAUGGGUUGUUCUGCCGAUGAAGAAGCUGGUGGGCUAGAGUUAUAGUUGAUCGUAUCGUUGCGAUAAAUCCAAUAAUACAGGUUUUCCUUCUACUUGUGUAGACUAAUCUGCCACUUGGAAGUUUUAGUUUAGCUAAAAAGAGCGCUAACUCAUUAAGCUCUUUAGUCUUCUCCUCUAGGUUUUCUUUGGUAAGAACCGCUUUGUCACCAUUUGCUUGAACAUUCCAUGAGUUCAGGAUAUCGAAAAGCUUAUUGAAUUGCCGACAGAACUGUUCGGUGGCCUCACUUCCUUGAAACUAUGUUACCUGAGGAACUUUUAGUACUUCUCGUAAAUGUCGGAGCACAUCUGCCACGGAUCUACUCAAAACUUGAGCAGCGAGAGCCACCUUCAUCUUAUGUCGCUCGAAGUAUGCGUGUUGUCUUGUAAGUCGAUUACCGAGACGAAAUCCAGCCUCAUUUUGGAAUUGAAAGAGAGCCUUGAUGUACUUCCACUGUGCUGGAUCUUGAUAUCCAGGUAACUUCACCGGUGAAAAAGACAGUAGAUUCCUUGCCAACUUCAGCAUGUGGCACGCAUCAAGUAAAACAUUUACUGGUUCUCCGGUAGAAGGAUGCACGAAGUUUGGUUUAAACGGGCAAGUCAAU